Cinara cedri is the source of this 270-nucleotide non-coding RNA. The record is from the annotation of a GenBank genome assembly. Lineage: Eukaryota; Metazoa; Arthropoda; Insecta; Hemiptera; Aphididae.
CAUUAUAAUAUUUACAUUAUUUAUGACGAAUUAUCUGACUGUAUAGAUGAUAAUAACAAUAAUGAAUGAUAACCCAAGAAAUGCGCAUGCGUAGAACAAUACAAUUUGGUCAUGGACGGUUGUUUUGGGAAUCACUGUCGGUUAGUUAUACGAUCGUUAAUCGAAGCUUGUCAGAACAGAUCGCCGUAACUGGCACUUGACCGACGACGUUACUGUUAGGUAACCGACACUUUUACCGCCACUUAACCGGACAUUGUAAGAACGUCCUUA